Molecule: ribosomal RNA, 497 nt
Filed under: uncultured bacterium
Lineage: Bacteria
Description: partial 16S ribosomal RNA
Rfam family: Bacterial small subunit ribosomal RNA
Source: RNAcentral
GAUGAACGCUGGCGGCGUGCCUAAUACAUGCAAGUCGAGCGAACAGACGAGGAGCUUGCUCCUCUGACGUUAGCGGCGGACGGGUGAGUAACACGUGGAUAACCUACCUAUAAGACUGGGAUAACUUCGGGAAACCGGAGCUAAUACCGGAUAAUAUAUUGAACCGCAUGGUUCAAUAGUGAAAGACGGUUUUGCUGUCACUUAUAGAUGGAUCCGCGCCGCAUUAGCUAGUUGGUAAGGUAACGGCUUACCAAGGCGACGAUGCGUAGCCGACCUGAGAGGGUGAUCGGCCAGACUGGAACUGAGACACGGUCCAGACUCCUACGGGAGGCAGCAGUAGGGACUCUUCCGCAAUGGGCGAAAGCCUGACGGAGCAACGCCGCGUGAGUGAUGAAGGUCUUCGGAUCGUAAAACUCUGUUAUUAGGGAAGAACAAAUGUGUAAGUAACUAUGCACGUCUUGACGGUACCUAAUCAGAAAGCCAGGGGUAACUACGUG